RNAcentral lists this ribosomal RNA (150 nucleotides) under uncultured bacterium. RNAcentral's name for it is "partial 16S ribosomal RNA". It matches the Rfam family "Bacterial small subunit ribosomal RNA", at positions 356 to 496 of the family's 1533-position model. The record is from RNAcentral.
GGGGAAUAUUGGACAAUGGGCGGCAAGCCUGAUCCAGCAAUACCGCGUGUGUGAAGAAGGCCUGAGGGUUGUAAAGCACUUUCCAUUGGGANGAAUANCCUGCUUNAUNAAUAUCAAGCAGNCUGANAUUACCUAUAGAAGAAGCACCGG